AAGUCGUAACAAGGUAACCGUAGGUGAACCUGCGGUUGGAUCAUUAACAAGUUUGGCUCCGGCCUAACUCUGUGCACUGUAGUGUUUUUGGGCUGGAGACAGCCCAGAGCAAACACCUAAAGAAUGACUGAAAAAGAGAAAAGAAACAACUUUUGACAACGGAUCUCUUGGCUCUC
This 176-nucleotide unclassified non-coding RNA is filed under the name fungal sp. Its description in RNAcentral is "partial internal transcribed spacer region". The stretch from base 1 to 46 matches the Rfam family "Eukaryotic small subunit ribosomal RNA", at positions 1786 to 1831 of the family's 1831-position model. The record is from RNAcentral. Lineage: Eukaryota; Fungi.